AUGGCUUCAGGAGGGCACAGGGCAACUCUUGGUGCCAAAAAUUCAGAAGAGUGCCUGCAUCUUCUCCAUUUAUCCCCGAUGGCUGAGUCCUCUGGCUUCAGCAAGCACAGGAGAGCCCUUGUGUCCCCCUGUGGUAUCUUGGCAGGAGCUGCUUGGCUGCCCAGCCCUUUGCAUGGAGUGAAGAAGACUCCUGGAGCAUACUUUGGGAAAUCCAGACAGCUGUACCGCAUAUCACUCCUUUCUUUAAUAUGCUGUAAAAGUUCCUCCUCCACACUCGCUAUUCUGUUGUCGUAAUUAAGGAUCUGCAUCAGGAAAUGCCACGCUUCAAACCUGAGUUUACUGCGUGCUUGACAGACUCCCACAGCUUCCUUCUCCAGCACUCAUUUCCAUUGAAAAUGCCUCGUGGAGCCAGCAGCUCGCUCUUGCAGAGACUAUCUUGAUAUGUAACGAGGGUGCUGAUUUUAAAUACGUUAUUGAGGUCAUAUUCCAUGCUGAAUGUAUUUUUCUUUUCUGGUAAUGGUUGCGUGACACAUCAGCAUGAUGCUCGGUAAAUCUGGUGAGCUGGGUGGAAAGCUCCUUUCUGUUUGGUUUUUGUGCUCCAGGUGCGUGCCUGGGACACUUCACCAGUAUUAGGAACAUGGAAAAUAUCUAGUAAUGCUCAAAAUAUGCCUGCUUGUCAUAUCUGUAAUCUGGUCCAACCCACUAGUUGCAUAUUUAAUGCACUGGGAAAUGAUCAUUUUGUUCAGAGUAAAAACACAUGCACAUUCAUGCGCUCAGUGCCUCCUUACCUGUAAAGCUGUAGCAUUUCUGCAUGCCUAGAAUCAGGGAGUCAUAGAGUAUCCCGAGUUGGAAGGGGCACGUGAGUAUCAUUGAGUCCAACUCCUAUCAUAUUUAACAAUUUCCACUGGUUGGUGGUUAGUUGGUUGUGUUGUUGUUAUUCCUUGCAUCACAACCAAAUAUGGCCAAGCUCAUGUAGGGAAGGAGGGCAGCCCCAGCCUGUGUUUUUUGGGGGCACAGGGCACAGCCAUGCAGUGCUGUUCUGCUGGUGUAAGUGGAGGAAUAGGUAAUUAAAAGCACAAUGUUAAAAAAAAAAACAAAACAACAAAUUCUCUGUCCAUUAUUAAUGAGAGGGUCAUGGUGGAGAGUAGCGCUGUCUUGAUCUCUCUUUUAGACACAUCUGAGUCUCUGGUAAUUGCAGUAGAUUGUCUGGGUUUUUUUUGUUUCUGAGAGCAGCUGACUUUUCUGUCCACUCACUGCCAUUCUCUCAUCUUUCCUGCUGCCCUGUGACCCCUGACACGCUCCUCUGCUCUGCUGUAUCUUAGUCUGGUCUUCCUUAAGGUCUUGUGUUUUUUCAGGACCACCUAUGGCCCUGCCAUGGCUUUGGGCUACCACCACCGCUUUGCGUUCUACGUGGUUCUCAUUUGUCAUUGUUAGUCCUUCCUUCCUCAUUAGAUAAUUACCAUCCAUGCCACCUCCCUUUUCUAAUCAUUCCUUGAAUGCUUAAAUUAUCACUACAUCAUUCAGAUACAUCUUUGAUCUCCUCAAUACGGUUUUCCAAAGUAGCGUGGUUAUUGCUGUCCCCUUCAUGCCUUCUUGUUAGUUUCAUUUUCACUGAAUGCUUCCCUGUUCCUCUUUGUUCAUGCUCCAGGAAAAAAUAAAAUAAAAUCAGGAAACCCUUUUUUGUUUUUA
Coturnix japonica (Japanese quail) is the source of this 1689-nucleotide long non-coding RNA. Lineage: Eukaryota; Metazoa; Chordata; Aves; Galliformes; Phasianidae. The record is from Ensembl.